AAAAUAAUAAAUUAAAGCAUGUGCUGACAUAUGCAUUAUCCCUGACAAAGCCUUAAAGACAUAGGUAUGUUUGCGUAGAGUUUGAACAAUGCUAAUAUAACAGAAAAGCAUAUCACAAGGAAGCUUUGAUCACAAUAUAACAUGUAAAUAGUAAAUAUAGGAUGUCUAGAGGGACACACAUCUGUUGGAGAAUAGAAAGGAUGGGAAAUUCCAUUGAAAUAUAUAAAUAUAUAUUAUUACAUUGAUACAAGUGGAUUAUUGGAUUUACCCAAUCAAGAUAGUUAAAUUAUCAAUUUUAAAGUCCAAGCCUCGACGAGGACUUGAAAAUUUAUAAUUUAACUAUCAAGUUAAUCCACGCGUUACUAUGUAAUAAUAUGUUUCUCUAAUGAUUAAAAGAUAAAUUUCCUUUUUCGCUUAACCAAAAUUCCCUUCGAGUGCCUUCCACUUUCCACGAAAUUGUCAAUUUCAUUAACACCUGUGAGAACAUUUUGAUCAUUUCAGAGAGCUGAGAAAGGUUAUGACCCUUUGACUGAGCCAAUCAUCUUCUGAGAUACCCGGCAACCACACUUUAAUUUUUUUUAUACAAUGGGUUCGAAAAGGGAUAUAUUUUCAAAGAAUUAGAGAAAGAAAAAUACAGACUUUUUACUAAUAUCAGAAUGCACAUUUGAGAACAGUUGAAACUAAACACAAAUAAAUAUUUUUCAUGUC
This 708-nucleotide long non-coding RNA is filed under the name Mytilus galloprovincialis (Mediterranean mussel). The record is from RNAcentral. Lineage: Eukaryota; Metazoa; Mollusca; Bivalvia; Mytilida; Mytilidae.